Molecule: long non-coding RNA, 257 nt
Filed under: Elaeis guineensis (African oil palm)
Lineage: Eukaryota; Viridiplantae; Streptophyta; Magnoliopsida; Arecales; Arecaceae
Description: long non-coding RNA (EGUI_LNC037938)
Source: RNAcentral
CCUAAGAUUUGAUUGUCAACCCUAAUAUAAUCGAUCACAUUAUAUUUCAAUCUUUCAAAUCCAUCACAUGGAUUACUCUAGCUAAAAUUUUACUAAAUUAAAAUAUACUGAUGCAUAUCUCCUACUAAUUUAGAGGGAUCAAUUCCUUCUUGACUCACACAUCGACUUGAUAAGUACUUGACUGCAUCCAGUAUCUUUCCAUCAUUGAAUUAAAAACUCAGAUGGUUUGGCACUAAAGUACAGUGAGUUGCUUACAA